CUUGCUCCCUGAUGUUAGCGGCGGACGGGUGAGUAACACGUGGGUAACCUGCCUGUAAGACUGGGAUAACUCCGGGAAACCGGGGCUAAUACCGGAUGGUUGUUUGAACCGCAUGGUUCAAACAUAAAAGGUGGCUUCGGCUACCACUUACAGAUGGACCCGCGGCGCAUUAGCUAGUUGGUGAGGUAACGGCUCACCAAGGCGACGAUGCGUAGCCGACCUGAGAGGGUGAUCGGCCACACUGGGACUGAGACACGGCCCAGACUCCUACGGGAGGCAGCAGUAGGGAAUCUUCCGCAAUGGACGAAAGUCUGACGGAGCAACGCCGCGUGAGUGAUGAAGGUUUUCGGAUCGUAAAGCUCUGUUGUUAGGGAAGAACAAGUACCGUUCGAAUAGGCGGUACCUUGACGGUACCUAACCAGAAAGCCACGGCUAACUACGUGCC
Molecule: ribosomal RNA, 445 nt
Filed under: Bacillus subtilis
Lineage: Bacteria; Bacillati; Bacillota; Bacilli; Caryophanales; Bacillaceae
Description: bacterial SSU rRNA
Rfam family: Bacterial small subunit ribosomal RNA
Source: RNAcentral